This 497-nucleotide ribosomal RNA is filed under the name uncultured bacterium. RNAcentral's name for it is "partial 16S ribosomal RNA". It matches the Rfam family "Bacterial small subunit ribosomal RNA", at positions 28 to 507 of the family's 1533-position model. The record is from RNAcentral.
GAUGAACGCUGGCGGCGUGCCUAAUACAUGCAAGUCGAGCGAACAGAUAAGGAGCUUGCUCCUUUGACGUUAGCGGCGGACGGGUGAGUAACACGUGGAUAACCUACCUAUAAGACUGGGAUAACUUCGGGAAACCGGAGCUAAUACCAGAUAACAUAUUGAACCGCAUGGUUCAAUAGUGAAAGGCGGCUUUGCUGUCACUUAUAGAUGGAUCCGCGCCGUAUUAGCUAGUUGGUAAGGUAACGGCUUACCAAGGCAACGAUACGUAGCCGACCUGAGAGGGUGAUCGGCCACACUGGAACUGAGACACGGUCCAGACUCCUACGGGAGGCAGCAGUAGGGAAUCUUCCGCAAUGGGCGAAAGCCUGACGGAGCAACGCCGCGUGAGUGAUGAAGGUCUUCGGAUCGUAAAACUCUGUUAUCAGGGAAGAACAAAUGUGUAAGUAACUGUGCACAUCUUGACGGUACCUGAUCAGAAAGCCACGGCUAACUACGUG